AUUGUUUCAGCAAUGGAACAUGAGAGCGGCGCACGGGUGAGUAACGCGUACACGACCUACCUUUGACUGGGGGAUAGCCCUGGGAAACUGGGAUUAAUACCGCAUAUAAUUCUCGAUAAUAAAGGUUGGGAAUGAAAGUUCAGGCGGUCAGAGAUGGGUGUGCGUCUGAUUAGCUAGUUGGUAAGGUAACGGCUUACCAAGGCGAUGAUCAGUAGGGGGCGUGAGAGCGUGAUCCCCCACACGGGUACUGAGACACGGACCCGACUCCUACGGGAGGCAGCAGUAAGGAAUAUUGGACAAUGGCCGCAAGGCUGAUCCAGCCAUCCAGCGUGCAGGAAGAAGGCCCUAUGGGUUGUAAACUGCUCUUAUCAGGGAAUAAACCUCUUUAUUUAUAGAGAGCUGAAGGUACCUGAAGAAUAAGCACCGGCUAACUCCGUGCCAGCAGCCGCGGUAAUACGGAGGGUGCGAGCGUUAUCCGGAAUUACUGGGUUUAAAGGGUGCGUAGGCGGCCCUGUAAGUCAGGAGUGAAAGUUUGCGGCUCAACCGUAAAAUUGCUUUUGAUACUGCGGGGCUAGAAUUAGGAUGAGGUCAGCGGAAUGUGGCAUGUAGCGGUGAAAUGCAUAGAUAUGCCAUAGAACACCAAUUGCGAAGGCAGCUGACUAGACCUGGAUUGACGCUGAGGCACGAAAGCGUGGGGAGCGAACAGGAUUAGAUACCCUGGUAGUCCACGCCCUAAACGAUGCUUACUCGACGUAUGGCGCUAGACGUUGUGCGUCCAAGGGAAACCGUUAAGUAAGCCACCUGGGGAGUACGACCGCAAGGUUGAACUCAAAG
This 834-nucleotide ribosomal RNA is filed under the name uncultured bacterium. RNAcentral's name for it is "bacterial SSU rRNA". It matches the Rfam family "Bacterial small subunit ribosomal RNA", at positions 70 to 906 of the family's 1533-position model. The record is from RNAcentral.